GGCGCGAAACCUUUACACUGCGGGAAACCGCGAUAAGGGGACACCGAGUGCCAGCAUACAAUGCUGGCUGUCCACAUGUGUAAAUAGCAUGUGAUAGCAAGGGCCGGGCAAGACCGGUGCCAGCCGCCGCGGUAACACCGGCGGCCCGAGUGGUAAUCACUAUUAUUGGGUCUAAAGGGUCCGUAGCCGGUUUAAUCAGUCUUCCGGGAAAUCUGACAGCUCAACUGUUAGGCUACCGGGGGAUACUGUUAGACUUGGGACCGGGAGAGGUAAGAGGUACUACAGGGGUAGGAGUGAAAUCUUGUAAUCCCUGUGGGACCACCAGUGGCGAAGGCGUCUUACCAGAAC
Molecule: ribosomal RNA, 348 nt
Filed under: uncultured archaeon
Lineage: Archaea
Description: bacterial SSU rRNA
Rfam family: Archaeal small subunit ribosomal RNA
Source: RNAcentral